GAUGAAGAACGUAGUGAAAUGCGAUAAGUAAUGUGAAUUGCAGAAUUCAGUGAAUCAUCGAAUCUUUGAACGCACAUUGCGCCCGCUAGUAUUCUGGCGGGCAUGCCUGUCCGAGCGUCAUUUCAACCCUCAAGCCCCCGGGCUUGGUGUUGGGGAUCGGCGAGCCUCCGCGCCCGCCGUCCCCUAAAUCUAGUGGCGGUCUCGCUGUAGCUUCCUCUGCGUAGUAGCACACCUCGCACUGGGAAACAGCGCGGCCACGCUGUUAAACCCCCAACUUCUGAACGUUUGACCUCGGAUCAGGUAGGAAUACCCGCUGAACUUAAGCAUAUCAAUAAGCGGAGGA
Molecule: unclassified non-coding RNA, 343 nt
Filed under: soil metagenome
Description: partial contains 5.8S ribosomal RNA, internal transcribed spacer 2, and large subunit ribosomal RNA
Rfam family: 5.8S ribosomal RNA (bases 1-120)
Source: RNAcentral